Molecule: long non-coding RNA, 214 nt
Organism: Brienomyrus brachyistius
Lineage: Eukaryota; Metazoa; Chordata; Actinopteri; Osteoglossiformes; Mormyridae
Exons: 4
Source: RefSeq, a predicted model, not a curated record
AGCAGAGUUGCCCUGUAGCCUCGUCGGCAAAGAGCAGGAAAUUCUGAAAAAAGCCUUAAAAAUGCUCCGAAACAGGAGGGAGGACCUCCGAAGGUCAGGAAAGAAGAGAGAAGGACUUCAGCUUCACUCCAACGACGUGUAAGACUAAUGAAAAAAGGUGGGAGAACAGUGGCCCUUGGAGAAAGAACAGAAGCACUUGAGGUUUGCCUCCAGG